GUGCACAUGCUAGGGAGAGUCCUGGUGGGAAUGCGGCCGUCCGGGGAGAAGGCCACAGAUAAGCCUCGGUGAAAACCAGGACGAAAGACAAAUAUCGAGUGGUGUACACGGACCACCAGCGGCUGGAGCUGGAGAAGGAGUUUCACUACAGUCGCUACAUCACCAUCCGGAGGAAAGCCGAGCUAGCCGCCACGCUAGGGCUCUCUGAGAGGCAGGUUAAAAUCUGGUUUCAGAACCGCAGAGCAAAGGAGAGGAAAAUCAACAAGAAGAAGUUGCAGCAGCAACAGCAGCAGCAGCCACCACAGCCGCCUCCGCCGCCACCACAGCCUCCCCAGCCUCAGCCAGGUCCUCUGAGAAGUGUCCCGGAGCCCUUGAGUCCAGUGUCUUCCCUGCAAGCCUCAGUGCCUGGCUCUGUCCCUGGGGUUCUGGGGCCAACUGGGGGGGUGCUAAGCCCCACCGUCACCCAGUGACCCACAGGGGUCUGCAGCGGCAGAGCAAUUCCAGGCUGAGCCAUGAGGAGCGUGGACUCUGGUAGACUCCUCAGGAGAGACCCCUCCCCUCCCGCCCACAGCCAUAGACCU
RNAcentral lists this small RNA (581 nucleotides) under Pongo abelii (Sumatran orangutan). RNAcentral describes it as "processed transcript". Lineage: Eukaryota; Metazoa; Chordata; Mammalia; Primates; Hominidae. The record is from RNAcentral.